Non-coding RNA from Peromyscus maniculatus bairdii (prairie deer mouse), 1611 nucleotides. The record is from RefSeq and is a predicted model, not a curated record. Lineage: Eukaryota; Metazoa; Chordata; Mammalia; Rodentia; Cricetidae.
ACGUCAUUCUCCGCUAGUUUAGGCCAAUCUGCUAAUAGACAGGGAACCUGCCUCGUCGGGCUCGGGUAGGUUCGGCUAAAGGCUGAAGGGGUUCCCAAGGAAACCAGCUCAUCUGGUUGGUCCCGUGUUCCCCGAAGGACACCAGCCCGAUGGAGAGAGUCUGCAGGAACGGCCGGAUGGCAGGCGUGAACUGUGAAGGGAUGCCUGUGUCACCCAGCCACCCAGGAGACGGAUGAGGAUGGGGCACAAGGACAGGUUACCAGCCACCAGUGCCUUCACUGUGAGUCCAGGAGGACACGGGGCAAGGGACUCACCUGGAAGCCCAGGCAGCGGCCGUAGAAGCAGCCUUUAUGUAGAGUGACAUACUCUUGCAGGAAGUCAGCGGACUCCAGUCUCCUAAGCCCCAGAGGACUUGGUUCACCAGUGCUGCUCUCUACCCCAGAAGCCGGCCCACCCUCUUCCUCUUCCUUCCAGGUAUUCAAGGGUGAACUCUAUCUUUGUUUACUCUCUUUAGACUUGUCCUUCUUGUUCCAGGAAAUCUGAAUGCCUAACGGUUCCCUUUCUCAAGCCCCACGUGCUCAAGCCCCGUCUCCGUUCCUUUUCAGUCUCCUGGUGUUGCCCACAAGCCCUUCCCUUCUCACAGUGAUGGGGAUGUGAUUCCCAGUCCAGCCAUCACUGCCUCCUAGGACUUCCCUCCUUUGGAGCCCCAAGCAUACAUAACCCAGCGUUUCUGCGCCAAGAACUCACUCCUGGUUACUCCAGCCUGCCUGUAGAAUCCCCUACAAACUCCAACUCCCUCGUUGUUUCUCUGUGGGGGUCUCAAACUCAACAUCCCUUCUCUAGAUGGUUGCCUGGCUUUCAGCCUUGGCCCCCUGUCUUAGGUCGAAUUGUCUCACUCCCCUGCCCGCAACAGCAGUUCAAAUAGGCAAUACUGAUCACUAGCCAAGCCCCUGCCAAGGUUUACCUUAAAGAUCCGGAACAGUUCAGAUCUCUAUUGCUGCCAGCAUCCCCUUUUACAGGAGGGCAAGCUGAGGCUCAGUAAGAAGCUGGAGGUGGUACGGAUAAUGGCAGAGCCCAUUUAACCCCGAUUUCUAGGUCCUAUAUAGGCAUCGCUCCUCCUAGGGCUCUCAAAGCUCAGCUUCUGUCCCUCAGAACCCAGCUCCAUGCUUUGCUCAGCUUCCCAGUCAGGGUGUCCUAUGAUCUCCCUCCAGAGUCCGAGUUAUCUAGCACAUCUUGGAGAAGUUGCCCUUGACCCUUUGGUGAGGACAUUACAACCUUCCCAAGUGAUUCUUUCCCUGCGGAGGCCUAGGGCCCUGCCUGGCUCCUGGGUUUGCAACCCUUUGUUUCCGUAGAAGACAGUGUCUCCUCUCCCUUCCAGAUCCUGGGUUCUGGUGGCAGCAGCCAUUUCUGUCUCUCAGCUGGCCCUGCACUCACCCUCCCUGGCCUCUUCGGACUGGAGCUCCACAAGCUGGCACAGCAGGACAGAAACAGAUUUUUAUGGAGGCGCAGAGCUCAUAAAGUGGAAUAUGGCUACUUAGGAAGAACAUGAAAUUACAAAUAAAAAAAAAAAUCAGGUGUCGGGCUUUUGAAAGAGCCUGUUGCAAACGAGAG